Molecule: ribosomal RNA, 465 nt
Filed under: Vreelandella stevensii
Lineage: Bacteria; Pseudomonadati; Pseudomonadota; Gammaproteobacteria; Oceanospirillales; Halomonadaceae
Description: partial 16S ribosomal RNA
Rfam family: Bacterial small subunit ribosomal RNA
Source: RNAcentral
CCUACGGGUGGCAGCAGUGGGGAAUAUUGGACAAUGGGGGCAACCCUGAUCCAGCCAUGCCGCGUGUGUGAAGAAGGCCCUCGGGUUGUAAAGCACUUUCAGUAAGGAAGAACGCCUGGUGGUUAAUACCCAUCAGGAAAGACAUCACUCACAGAAGAAGCACCGGCUAACUCCGUGCCAGCAGCCGCGGUAAUACGGAGGGUGCGAGCGUUAAUCGGAAUUACUGGGCGUAAAGCGCGCGUAGGUGGCUUGAUAAGCCGGUUGUGAAAGCCCCGGGCUCAACCUGGGAACGGCAUCCGGAACUGUCAAGCUAGAGUGCAGGAGAGGAAGGUAGAAUUCCCGGUGUAGCGGUGAAAUGCGUAGAGAUCGGGAGGAAUACCAGUGGCGAAGGCGGCCUUCUGGACUGACACUGACACUGAGGUGCGAAAGCGUGGGUAGCAAACAGGAUUAGAUACCCCUGUAGUC